This 279-nucleotide ribosomal RNA is filed under the name uncultured bacterium. RNAcentral describes it as "partial 16S ribosomal RNA". It matches the Rfam family "Bacterial small subunit ribosomal RNA", at positions 506 to 784 of the family's 1533-position model. The record is from RNAcentral.
UGCCAGCCGCCGCGGUAAUACGGAAGGUGCAAGCGUUAAUCGGAAUUACUGGGCGUAAAGCGCGCGUAGGCGGCUAGAUAAGUCGGGUGUGAAAGCCCCGGGCUCAACCUGGGAACUGCAUUCGAUACUGUCUGGCUAGAGUGUGAUAGAGGGAGGCGGAAUUCCGCAUGUAGCGGUGAAAUGCGUAGACAUUCGGAGGAACACCAGUGGCGAAGGCGGCUUUCUGGACCGAUACUGACGCUGAGACGCGAAAGCGUGGGGAGCAAACAGGAUUAGAUA